Pongo pygmaeus (Bornean orangutan) is the source of this 314-nucleotide long non-coding RNA. RefSeq lists it as uncharacterized. The record is from RefSeq and is a predicted model, not a curated record. The transcript has 3 exons. NCBI's taxonomy places the organism in Eukaryota, Metazoa, Chordata, Mammalia, Primates, Hominidae.
AACAGACCUGGUGAAUGGUAUAUGUCAGCCAUUGCGUGAUGGGCAAUCAUCAAUCAUCCAUUGUCAGUUAUUUCUGUCCCAAGACAGCGUCUCUCUAUGUUGCCCAGGCUGGAGUGCAGUGACUAUUCACAGGUGCGAUCAGAGCUCAUCAUAGUCUCCAACUCCUGCUCUCAAGUGAUCCUCCUGCCUCAGCUUACGUAGUAGUGGAGACAGCAGUGGCUUCUGCUCGCGAAUAUCAUGGAUAUGGUACUCAGUGCUGGUGCCUUGGCACAGGAUGGGUGAAGUGGAGAUAGAAAGAGGUGCCUGGAUUUGGA